RNAcentral lists this ribosomal RNA (451 nucleotides) under uncultured bacterium. RNAcentral's name for it is "bacterial SSU rRNA". It matches the Rfam family "Bacterial small subunit ribosomal RNA", at positions 29 to 521 of the family's 1533-position model. The record is from RNAcentral.
AACGAACGCUGGCGGCAGGCUUAACACAUGCAAGUCGAACGCUCGUAGCAAUACGGGAGUGGCGGACGGGUGAGUAACGCGUGGGAACAUGCCCUGAGGUACGGAAUAACUGAGGGAAACUUCAGCUAAUACCGUAUGAGCCCCGAGAGGGGGAAAGAUUUAUCGCCUUGGGAGCGGCCCGCGUCGGAUUAGCUAGUUGGUGGGGUAACGGCCUACCAAGGCUUCGAUCCGUAGCUGGUCUGAGAGGACGAUCAGCCACACUGGGACUGAGACACGGCCCAGACUCCUACGGGAGGCAGCAGUGGGGAAUCUUGCGCAAUGGGGGCAACCCUGACGCAGCCAUGCCGCGUGAACGAUGAAGGCCUUAGGGUUGUAAAGUUCUUUUACCCGUGACGAUGAUGACGGUAACGGGGGAAUAAGCUCCGGCUAACUUCGUGCCAGCAGCCGCGGU